Molecule: ribosomal RNA, 274 nt
Filed under: uncultured bacterium
Lineage: Bacteria
Description: partial 16S ribosomal RNA
Rfam family: Bacterial small subunit ribosomal RNA
Source: RNAcentral
AUACGGAGGGUGCAAGCGUUAAUCGGAAUUACUGGGCGUAAAGCGCUCGUAGGCGGCUUGUAAAGUCGGAUGUGAAAUCCCCGGGCUCAACCUGGGAACUGCAUUCGAUACUGGCAGGCUCGAGUAUAGUAGAGGCAAGUGGAAUUUCGGGUGUAGCGGUGAAAUGCGUAGAUAUCCGAAGGAACAUCAGUGGCGAAGGCGACUUGCUGGACUAAUACUGACGCUGAGGAGCGAAAGCGUGGGGAGCAAACGGGAUUAGAAACCCCAGUAGUCC